GAUGAACGCUGGCGGCGUGCCUAAUACAUGCAAGUCGAGCGAACAGAUGAGGAGCUUGCUCCUCUGACGUUAGCGGCGGACGGGUGAGUAACACGUGGAUAACCUACCUAUAAGACUGGGAUAACUUCGGGAAACCGGAGCUAAUACCGGAUAAUAUAUUGAACCGCAUGGUUCAAUAGUGAAAGACGGUUUUGCUGUCACUUAUAGAUGGAUCCGCGCUGCAUUAGCUAGUUGGUAAGGUAACGGCUUACCAAGGCAACGAUGCGUAGCCGACCUGAGAGGGUGAUCGGCCACACUGGAACUGAGACACGGUCCAGACUCCUACGGGAGGCAGCAGUAGGGAAUCUUCCGCAAUGGGCGAAAGCCUGACGGAGCAACGCCGCGUGAGUGAUGAAGGUCUUCGGAUCGUAAAACUCUGUUAUCAGGGAAGAACAUAUGUGUAAGUAACUAUGCACGUCUUGACGGUACCUAAUCAGAAAGCCACGGCUAACUACGUG
Molecule: ribosomal RNA, 497 nt
Filed under: uncultured bacterium
Lineage: Bacteria
Description: partial 16S ribosomal RNA
Rfam family: Bacterial small subunit ribosomal RNA
Source: RNAcentral